RNAcentral lists this ribosomal RNA (253 nucleotides) under uncultured bacterium. RNAcentral describes it as "partial 16S ribosomal RNA". It matches the Rfam family "Bacterial small subunit ribosomal RNA", at positions 524 to 776 of the family's 1533-position model. The record is from RNAcentral.
UACGAAGGGGGCUAGCGUUGCUCGGAAUCACUGGGCGUAAAGGGCGCGUAGGCGGCCGUUUAAGUCGGGGGUGAAAGCCUGUGGCUCAACCACAGAAUUGCCUUCGAUACUGGACGGCUUGAGACCGGAAGAGGUAAGUGGAACUGCGAGUGUAGAGGUGAAAUUCGUAGAUAUUCGCAAGAACACCAGUGGCGAAGGCGGCUUACUGGUCCGGUUCUGACGCUGAGGCGCGAAAGCAUGGGGAGCAAACAGG